This 253-nucleotide ribosomal RNA is filed under the name uncultured bacterium. RNAcentral's name for it is "partial 16S ribosomal RNA". It matches the Rfam family "Bacterial small subunit ribosomal RNA", at positions 524 to 776 of the family's 1533-position model. The record is from RNAcentral.
UACGUAGGGAGCAAGCGUUGUCCGGAAUCAUUGGGCGUAAAGCGCGCGUAGGUGGCCUCAUAAGUCCGCUGUGAAAGUCAAAGGCUCAACCUUUGAAAGCCGGUGGAUACUGUGAGGCUAGAGUACGGAAGAGGCGAGUGGAAUUCCUGGUGUAGCGGUGGAAUGCGCAGAUAUCAGGAGGAACACCAAUAGCGUAGGCAGCUCGCUGGGACGUUACUGACACUGAGGCGCGAAAGCGUGGGGAGCGAACAGG